CGCACCUUGCGCUCCUUGGUAUUCCGAGGAGCACAUCCGUUUGAGUGUCAUGGUAUUCUCAACCUCAAUAACUGUUGUUAAUGAGGCUUGGACUUGGAGGUCGUGCUGGCUCUCGUUAGUCAGCUCCUCUUAAAUGCAUUAGCGUGAACGUUACCGAUCGCUAUCAGUGUGAUAAUUAUCUGCGCUGUUAGUGUUGAAGUAUGACAAGCUCGCGCUUCUAACCGUCCUUCAGCUGGACAUUUACUUGACAAUCUGACCUCAAAUCGGAUGGGACUACCCGCUGAACUUAA
Molecule: unclassified non-coding RNA, 290 nt
Filed under: Agaricomycetes sp.
Lineage: Eukaryota; Fungi; Basidiomycota; Agaricomycetes
Description: partial contains 5.8S ribosomal RNA, internal transcribed spacer 2, and large subunit ribosomal RNA
Source: RNAcentral